GCAUAUCAAUAAGCGGAGGAAAAGAAAAUAACAAUGAUUCCCUUAGUAACGGCGAGUGAAGGGGGAAAAGCUCAAAUUUUAAAUCGGCGUAGGUUCUACCUGGUCGAGUUGUAAUUUGAAGAAGCGUUUUCCGCGUCCAGGUUGGCCCAAAUCCUUUGGGAUAAGGUAUCAUGGAGGGUGAGAAUCCCGUCCGGUUGACCUUCUAGGACGUUUUACGAUACGCUCUCAAAGAGUCGAGUUGUUUGGGAUUGCAGCUCAAAAUGGGAGGUAAAUUUCUCCUAAGGCUAAAUACAGGCGAGAGACCGAUAGCGAACAAGUACCGUGAGGGAAAGAUGAAAAGAAUUUUGAAAAGAAAGUUAAACAGUACGUGAAAUUGUUGAAAGGGAAACGAUUGAAGCCAGUCGUACCGACGGGAAAUCAACUUCUCGAGUGCCUAUCGUGGGUGACGUUGAGCUUCACGGCCUUCGUUGCUUGUGUUGUUGGUGCUUUUGGGGUGUACUUUUCCGUAUGGUAGGUCACCAUCGAUUUUGAUCGUCAUAAAAUGAUCGGGGGAAUGUAGCUUCGGUCUCGUAUCGGAGUGUUAUAGACCUUGGUAGAUGUGACGGUUGGGAUCGAGGAUUGCAACGAAUACCCUUUUGGGCUAUCCGUCUGUCCUCUGAAAGUCGCUCGGGAGUUGAAAGCGUGCUUAUGACUAUUCGAGUUGGCGGUCAAUAGGUUAGAACGUGAUUAUAUUCGUUAAGGAUGUGUUGACGUAAUGGCUUUAAACGAC
RNAcentral lists this ribosomal RNA (769 nucleotides) under uncultured Glomus. RNAcentral describes it as "eukaryotic LSU rRNA". It matches the Rfam family "Eukaryotic large subunit ribosomal RNA", at positions 38 to 648 of the family's 3401-position model. The record is from RNAcentral. Lineage: Eukaryota; Fungi; Glomeromycota; Glomeromycetes; Glomerales; Glomeraceae.